Panicum virgatum (switchgrass) is the source of this 352-nucleotide long non-coding RNA. RefSeq lists it as uncharacterized. The transcript has 3 exons. The record is from RefSeq and is a predicted model, not a curated record. Lineage: Eukaryota; Viridiplantae; Streptophyta; Magnoliopsida; Poales; Poaceae.
CUCUGGCCUCCAUCACCGCGAGCCUCAGCCUGUUGCGCAGCACAGCAUGCGAGCGGACUACGGCGAGGUGCGCACACUGCUUGCUGGGGCCAUACGCAGCGGCAAGAAUGGGUACACGGCCGGGCUCCCGGAGUACUCGCACGCCAUGGCGGAUGGCUACGUUGGGCGCAAGGAACGCCGCCGAGCAGGAUUUGGAGUUCGGGUCAUGUCCAUCCAAGCUGCCCUUGACUUUGUCCACGAUUCAAGCACCGCCGGCAGCUUAUAGGGAAAACCAUGCAGAGUGUCGACAUUCACAUGGUCAACAUCAGUGGUCAACCAUGUUGCGUUAGCUGCACACUGGAAUCAACUACGG